UACGGAGGGUGCUAGCGUUGUUCGGAAUUACUGGGCGUAAAGGGCGCGUAGGCGGCCGUUUGCGUCGGAUGUGAAAGCCCGGGGCUCAACCUCGGAACGGCAUUCGAUACGGGACGGCUGGAGACCGGGAGAGGAGAGUGGAAUAGCCAGUGUAGAGGUGAAAUUCGUAGAUAUUGGCUGGAACACCGGUGGCGAAAGCGGCUCUC
Molecule: ribosomal RNA, 206 nt
Filed under: uncultured bacterium
Lineage: Bacteria
Description: partial 16S ribosomal RNA
Rfam family: Bacterial small subunit ribosomal RNA
Source: RNAcentral